Rhincodon typus (whale shark) is the source of this 268-nucleotide long non-coding RNA. RefSeq lists it as uncharacterized. The transcript is spliced from 2 exons. The record is from RefSeq and is a predicted model, not a curated record. NCBI's taxonomy places the organism in Eukaryota, Metazoa, Chordata, Chondrichthyes, Orectolobiformes, Rhincodontidae.
CGCUUGCUCGGUGCUGCCGGGGCUCGCUGAGGCCUGUCCUAUCCAGGAGCUGGCGUAAAGUUCCUGCAAGUCGAGGUUUUAAAUGAUACACAGAAUUUAAAAGCAGUGCAGAUGAUUUGAUGUUUGGCAGAAACUGUUUGAGACAAAGGCUGAAAGAAGCGAAGAGGAAGGAUGAGUCUGCUAAAACCUAGUGGGCUGAAGGCUCCUAGCAAGAUUGCCAAACCAGGGAGUACUGCAGUGAAGCAAGCUGCUUCUGCACAACCAUCAA